AGAGUUUGAUCCUGGCUCAGGACGAACGCUGGCGGCGUGCUUAACACAUGCAAAUCGAACGGACAGAGAUGGAAGCUUGCUUCUAUCAAAGUUAGUGGCGGACGGGUGAGUAACGCGUGGGUAACCUGCCUUUAAGAGGGGGUUAACACUUCGAAAGGAGUGCUAAUACCGCAUAACAUUAUUUUACUGCAUGGUAGAAUAAUCAAAGGAGCAAUCCGCUUAAAGAUGGACCCGCGUCUGAUUAGCUAGUUGGUGAGGUAACGGCUCACCAAGGCGACGAUCAGUAGCCGGCCUGAGAGGAUGAUCCGCCACACUGGGACUGAGACACGGCCCAGACUCCUACGGGAGGCAGCAGUGGGGAAUUUUGGACAAUGGGCGCAAGCCUGAUCCAGCCAUGCCGCGUGUCUGAAGAAGGCCUUCGGGUUGUAAAGGACUUUUGUCCGGGAGCAAAGCCUACUUGUUA
Molecule: ribosomal RNA, 463 nt
Filed under: uncultured bacterium
Lineage: Bacteria
Description: bacterial SSU rRNA
Rfam family: Bacterial small subunit ribosomal RNA
Source: RNAcentral